GUGUUUGAUGUACCCGUACCGUAAACCGACACAGGUGGAUGAGGAGAGAAUCCUAAGGCCGGCGGGAGAAGCAUUGUUAAGGAACUCGGCAAAAUGACCCCGUAACUUCGGGAGAAGGGGUGCUCCAGAGAUGGAGCCGCAGAGAACUGGCCCAAGCAACUGUUUAGCAAAAACACAGGUCUAUGCAAAACCGAAAGGUGAGGUAUAUGGGCUGACGCCUGCCCGGUGCUGGAAGGUUAAGAGGAGAUGUUAAUCGCAAGGUGAAGCAUUGAAUUUAAGCCCCAGUAAACGGCGGCCGUAACUAUAACGGUCCUAAGGUAGCGAAAUUCCUUGUCGGGUAAGUUCCGACCCGCACGAAAGGCGUAAUGAUUUGGGCACUGUCUCGACAAUGCACCCGGUGAAAUUGAAAUACCAGUGAAGAUGCUGGUUACCUGCGCCAGGACGGAAAGACCCCAUGGAGCUUUACUCUAGCUUGAUACUGGGGUUCGGUAUUGCAUGUACAGGAUAGGUGGGAGACUGAGAAGAUGUGUCGCCAGAUGCAUCAGAGUCGAUGUUGGGAUACCACCCCUGCAGUACUGGGCUUCUAACCUGCAGCCGUGACCCGGCUGGGGGACAAUGUCUGGUGGGGAGUUUGACUGGGGCGGUCGCCUCCGAAAGAGUAUCGGAGGCGCUCAAAGGUUCCCUCAGAAUGGUUGGAAACCAUUCGAAGAGCGCAAAGGCAGAAGGGAGCUUGACUGCGACACCGACGGGUGGAGCAGGUACGAAAGUAGGACUUAGUGAUCCGGUGGUAUGAAAGUGGGAUUGCCAUCGCUCAACGGAUAAAAGCUACCCUGGGGAUAACAGGCUUAUCACUCCCAAGAGUUCACAUCGACGGAGUGGUUUGGCACCUCGAUGUCGGCUCAUCGCAUCCUGGGGCUGUAGUAGGUCCCAAGGGUUGGGCUGUUCGCCCAUUAAAGCGGUACGCGAGCUGGGUUCAGAACGUCGUGAGACAGUUCGGUCCCUAUCCGGCGUGGGCGUAGGAUAUCUGAGAGGAGCUGUCCUUAGUACGAGAGGACCGGGAUGGACUGACCUCUGGUGCACCGGUUGCAUUGCCAAAUGCAUAGCCGGGUAGCCAAGUCGGGACGGGAUAAACGCUGAAGGCAUCUAAGCGUGAAGCCCCCCUCAAGAUGAGAUAUCCCAUAACAUAAGUUAGUAAGACCCCUUGAAGACGACGAGGUAGAUAGGCAGAAGGUGGAAGUGUGGUGACAUAUGGAGCUGAUCUGUACUAAUAGGUCGAGGGCUUAACCAA
This 1288-nucleotide ribosomal RNA is filed under the name Lachnospira eligens. RNAcentral describes it as "bacterial LSU rRNA". It matches the Rfam family "Bacterial large subunit ribosomal RNA", at positions 1629 to 2925 of the family's 2925-position model. Lineage: Bacteria; Bacillati; Bacillota; Clostridia; Lachnospirales; Lachnospiraceae. The record is from RNAcentral.